RNAcentral lists this ribosomal RNA (253 nucleotides) under uncultured bacterium. RNAcentral's name for it is "partial 16S ribosomal RNA". It matches the Rfam family "Bacterial small subunit ribosomal RNA", at positions 524 to 776 of the family's 1533-position model. The record is from RNAcentral.
UACGUAGGGGGCAAGCGUUGUCCGGAAUCAUUGGGCGUAAAGCGCGCGUAGGCGGCCCGGUAAGUCCGCUCUGAAAGUCCGGGGCUCAACCCCGGGAGGCGGGCGGAUACUGUCGGGCUAGAGUCCGGAAGAGGCGAGUGGAAUUCCUGGUGUAGCGGUGAAAUGCGCAGAUAUCGGGAGGAACACCGGUGGCGAAGGAGGUUCUCUGGGCCUUACCUGACGCUGAGGAGCGAAAGCGUGGGGAGCGAACAGG